CCCAGACUCCUACGGGAGGCAGCAGUGAGGAAUAUUGGUCAAUGGCCGAGAGGCUGAACCAGCCAAGUAGCGUGCAGGAUGACGGCCCUCGUGGUUGUAAACUGCUUUUAGUCGGGAAUAAAAGGGGGUUCGUGAACCCCGUAUUGUAUGUACCGUCAGAAAAAGGACCGGCUAAUUCCGUGCCAGCAGCCGCGGUAAUACGGAAGGUCCGGGCGUUAUCCGGAUUUAUUGGGUUUAAAGGGAGCGUAGGCGGGCCGUUAAGUCAGUUGUGAAAGUUCGGGGCUCAACCCCGGAAUUGCAGUUGAAACUGCCGGUCUUGAGUACACGCAGGGAAGCCUGAAUUCAUGGUGUAGCGGUGAAAUGCUUAGAUAUCAUGAAGACGACCGAUCGCGAAGGCAGGUUUCCGGAGUGUAACUGACGCUGAGGCUCGAAAGUGCGGGUAUCAAACAGGAUUAGAUACCCGGGUAC
Molecule: ribosomal RNA, 468 nt
Filed under: uncultured bacterium
Lineage: Bacteria
Description: bacterial SSU rRNA
Rfam family: Bacterial small subunit ribosomal RNA
Source: RNAcentral